CAGCAGCCGCGGUAAUACGGAGGAUCCAAGCGUUAUCCGGAUUUAUUGGGUUUAAAGGGUGCGUAGGUGGCCUGUUAAGUCAGGGGUGAAAGACGGUAGCUUAACUAUCGCAGUGCCCUUGAUACUGAUGGGCUUGAAUGAACUAGAGGUAGGCGGAAUGUGACAAGUAGCGGUGAAAUGCAUAGAUAUGUCACAGAACACCAAUUGCGAAGGCAGCUUACUAUGGUUUUAUUGACACUGAGGCACGAAAGCGUGGGGAUCAAACAGGAUUAGAUACCCCAGUAGUCCCUGUCUCUUAUAC
Molecule: ribosomal RNA, 301 nt
Filed under: uncultured bacterium
Lineage: Bacteria
Description: partial 16S ribosomal RNA
Rfam family: Bacterial small subunit ribosomal RNA
Source: RNAcentral